AUACGUAGGGGGCGAGCGUUGUCCGGAUUUAUUGGGUUUAAAGGGAGCGUAGGCGGGAGCUUAAGUCAGCGGUUAAAUGGUGCGGCUCAACCGUGCCCUGCCGUUGAAACUGGGUUUCUUGAGAGUGCAAGAGGCGGAUGGAAUUCAUGGUGUAGCGGUGAAAUGCUUAGAUAUCAUGAAGAACUCCGAUUGCGAAGGCAGUCCGCUGGGGCACGUCUGACGCUGAUGCUCGAAGGUGCGGGAAUCAAACAGGAUUAGAUACCCUGGUAGUCCGCACGGUAAACGAUGAUUACCCGCUGUCGGCGGCAGACAGUCGGCGGCCAAGCGAAAGCGAUAAGUAAUCCACCUGGGGAGUACGCCGGCAACGGUGAAACUCAAAUGAAUUGACGGGG
Molecule: ribosomal RNA, 392 nt
Filed under: uncultured bacterium
Lineage: Bacteria
Description: partial 16S ribosomal RNA
Rfam family: Bacterial small subunit ribosomal RNA
Source: RNAcentral